AUACGGAGGGUGCAAGCGUUGUCCGGAUUUAUUGGGUUGAAAGGGUGCGUAGGUGGCGUGUUAAGUCAGUGGUGAAAGCCUGCAGCUCAACUGUAGAGGUGCCAUUGAUACUGACAUGCUUGAGUAUGGACGAGGUAGGCGGAAUUUGUGGUGUAGCGGUGAAAUGCAUAGAUACCACAAAGAACACCGAUAGCGAAGGCAGCUUACUGAACCAUAACUGACACUGAGGCACGAAAGUGUGGGUAGCGAACAGGAUUAGAUACCCUAGUAGUCC
Molecule: ribosomal RNA, 274 nt
Filed under: uncultured bacterium
Lineage: Bacteria
Description: partial 16S ribosomal RNA
Rfam family: Bacterial small subunit ribosomal RNA
Source: RNAcentral